UCCGGCUUUUCGCCGACAGUUCUCCUAGGGUGCUCACCAUUACGUGUUAGCAACUAAGAGUAAGGGUUGCGCUCGUUGCGGGACUUAACCCAACAUCUCACGACACGAGCUGACGACAGCCAUGCAGCACCUCUGCAGCAGUCUCCGAAGAGAAAGGCGCAUCUCUGCGCCGGUCCACUGCAGUUCAAACCCGGGUAAGGUUCUUCGCGUUGCGUCGAAUUAAACCACAUGCUCCACCGCUUGUGCGGGCCCCCGUCAAUUCCUUUGAGUUUCAGUCUUGCGACCGUACUCCCCAGGCGGGAUACUUACUGAGUUAUCGUCGGCACGGAAGGACUCAAUACCUCCCACACCAAGUAUCCAUCGUUUACAGCUAGGACUAC
RNAcentral lists this unclassified non-coding RNA (380 nucleotides) under uncultured Acidobacteriota bacterium. RNAcentral's name for it is "uncultured Acidobacteria bacterium contains 16S-23S intergenic spacer region". The record is from RNAcentral. Lineage: Bacteria; Pseudomonadati; Acidobacteriota.